GGGCGAUUGGCGCAGGGGUUAGCGCGUCUGCUUUACACGCAGUAGGUCGGGGGUUCAAAUCCCUCAUCGCCCACCA
This 76-nucleotide transfer RNA is filed under the name Pedosphaera sp. RNAcentral describes it as "tRNA-Val". It matches the Rfam family "tRNA". Rfam says of the family: Transfer RNA (tRNA) molecules are approximately 80 nucleotides in length. Their secondary structure includes four short double-helical elements and three loops (D, anti-codon, and T loops). The record is from RNAcentral. Lineage: Bacteria; Pseudomonadati; Verrucomicrobiota; Pedosphaerae; Pedosphaerales; Pedosphaeraceae.